RNAcentral lists this ribosomal RNA (497 nucleotides) under uncultured bacterium. RNAcentral's name for it is "partial 16S ribosomal RNA". It matches the Rfam family "Bacterial small subunit ribosomal RNA", at positions 28 to 507 of the family's 1533-position model. The record is from RNAcentral.
GAUGAACGCUGGCGGCGUGCCUAAUACAUGCAAGUAGAACGCUGAAGCUUGGUGCUUGCACCGAGCGGAUGAGUUGCGAACGGGUGAGUAACGCGUAGGUAACCUGCCUCUUAGCGGGGGAUAACUAUUGGAAACGAUAGCUAAUACCGCAUAAAAGUCGAUAUCGCAUGAUAUUGAUUUGAAAGGUGCAAAUGCAUCACUAAGAGAUGGACCUGCGUUGUAUUAGCUAGUUGGUGAGGUAACGGCUCACCAAGGCGACGAUACAUAGCCGACCUGAGAGGGUGAUCGGCCACACUGGGACUGUGACACGGCCCAGACUCCUACGGGAGGCAGCAGUAGGGAAUCUUCGGCAAUGGGGGCAACCCUGACCGAGCAACGCCGCGUGAGUGAAGAAGGUUUUCGGAUCGUAAAGCUCUGUUGUAAGAGAAGAACGAGUGUGAGAGUGGAAAGUUCACACUGUGACGGUAACUUACCAGAAAGGGACGGCUAACUACGUG